AUUGAACGCUGGCGGCAUGCUUUACACAUGCAAGUCGGACGGCAGCGCGGGCUUCGGCCUGGCGGCGAGUGGCGAACGGGUGAGUAAUACAUCGGAACGUGCCCAGUAGUGGGGGAUAGCUCGGCGAAAGCCGGAUUAAUACCGCAUACGACCUGAGGGUGAAAGCGGGGGAUCUUCGGACCUCGCGCUAUUGGAGCGGCCGAUGGCAGAUUAGCUAGUUGGUGGGGUAAAGGCCUACCAAGGCGACGAUCUGUAGCUGGUCUGAGAGGACGACCAGCCACACUGGGACUGAGACACGGCCCAGACUCCUACGGGAGGCAGCAGUGGGGAAUGUUGGACAAUGGGCGAAAGCCUGAUCCAGCAAUGCCGCGUGUGUGAUGAAGGCCUUCGGGUUGUAAAGCACUUUUGGCGGGAACGAAAAGGACUGUGCCAAUACCACGGUUCGAUGACGGUACCCGCAGAAUAAGCACCGGCUAACUACGUG
This 484-nucleotide ribosomal RNA is filed under the name uncultured bacterium. RNAcentral's name for it is "partial 16S ribosomal RNA". It matches the Rfam family "Bacterial small subunit ribosomal RNA", at positions 29 to 507 of the family's 1533-position model. The record is from RNAcentral.